GCCCGAGUGGUGGAAUGGCAGACACGCGGGACUCAAAAUCCCGUCGCGGCAACGCGGUGUGGGUUCGACUCCCACCUCGGGCA
Molecule: transfer RNA, 83 nt
Filed under: Gemmatimonadota bacterium
Lineage: Bacteria; Pseudomonadati; Gemmatimonadota
Description: tRNA-Leu
Rfam family: tRNA
About the family: Transfer RNA (tRNA) molecules are approximately 80 nucleotides in length. Their secondary structure includes four short double-helical elements and three loops (D, anti-codon, and T loops).
Source: RNAcentral